This 253-nucleotide ribosomal RNA is filed under the name uncultured bacterium. RNAcentral describes it as "partial 16S ribosomal RNA". It matches the Rfam family "Bacterial small subunit ribosomal RNA", at positions 524 to 776 of the family's 1533-position model. RNAcentral also lists the same sequence under 1 other name. The record is from RNAcentral.
UACGUAGGGGGCAAGCGUUGUCCGGAUUUAUUGGGCGUAAAGAGCGUGUAGGCGGCUGGGUAGGUCCGUUGUGAAAACUCGAGGCUCAACCUCGAGACGCCGAUGGAAACCCCCCAGCUAGAGUCCGGAAGAGGAGAGUGGAAUUCCUGGUGUAGCGGUGAAAUGCGCAGAUAUCAGGAAGAACACCCGUGGCUAAGGCGGCUCUCUAGUACGGUACUGACGCUGAGACGCGAAAGCGUGGGGAGCGAACAGG